GCAGUCGAGCGGACCGACGGGAGCUUGCUCCCUUAGGUCAGCGGCGGACGGGUGAGUAACACGUGGGUAACCUGCCUGUAAGACUGGGAUAACUCCGGGAAACCGGGGCUAAUACCGGAUGCUUGAUUGAACCGCAUGGUUCAAUCAUAAAAGGUGGCUUUUAGCUACCACUUACAGAUGGACCCGCGGCGCAUAGCUAGUUGGUGAGGUAACGGCUCACCAAGGCGACGAUGCGUAGCCGACCUGAGAGGGUGAUCGGCCACACUGGGACUGAGACACGGCCCAGACUCCUACGGGAGGCAGCAGUAGGGAAUCUUCCGCAAUGGACGAAAGUCUGACGGAGCAACGCCGCGUGAGUGAUGAAGGUUUUCGGAUCGUAAAACUCUGUUGUUAGGGAAGAACAAGUACCGUUCGAAUAGGGCGGCACCUUGACGGUACCUAACCAGAAAGCCACGGCUAACUACGUG
RNAcentral lists this ribosomal RNA (467 nucleotides) under Bacillus licheniformis. RNAcentral describes it as "bacterial SSU rRNA". It matches the Rfam family "Bacterial small subunit ribosomal RNA", at positions 57 to 507 of the family's 1533-position model. The record is from RNAcentral. Lineage: Bacteria; Bacillati; Bacillota; Bacilli; Caryophanales; Bacillaceae.